GCACCUGUGGCGGAACUGGCAGACGCGUAUGGUUCAGGUCCAUAUUUCUUAACGGAAGUGCAGGUUCGAUUCCUGUCAGGUGCACCA
Molecule: transfer RNA, 87 nt
Filed under: Clostridia bacterium
Lineage: Bacteria; Bacillati; Bacillota; Clostridia
Description: tRNA-Leu
Rfam family: tRNA
About the family: Transfer RNA (tRNA) molecules are approximately 80 nucleotides in length.
Source: RNAcentral